UAGGGAAUCUUCGGCAAUGGGGGGAACCCUGACCGAGCAACGCCGCGUGAGUGAAGAAGGUUUUCGGAUCGUAAAGCUCUGUUGUUAAGGAAGAACGAGUGUGAGAAUGGAAAGUUCAUACUGUGACGGUACUUAACCAGAAAGGGACGGCUAACUACGUGCCAGCAGCCGCGGUAAUACGUAGGUCCCGAGCGUUGUCCGGAUUUAUUGGGCGUAAAGCGAGCGCAGGCGGUUAGAUAAGUCUGAAGUUAAAGGCAGUGGCUCAACCAUUGUAGGCUUUGGAAACUGUUUAACUUGAGUGCAGAAGGGGAGAGUGGAAUUCCAUGUGUAGCGGUGAAAUGCGUAGAUAUAUGGAGGAACACCGGUGGCGAAAGCGGCUCUCUGGUCUGUAACUGACGCUGAGGCUCGAAAGCGUGGGGAGCGAACAGGAUCAGAUACCCUGGUAGUCCACGCCGUAAACGAUGAGUGCUAGGUGUUAGGUCCUUUCCGGGACUUAGUGCCGCAGCUAACGCAUUAAGCACUCCGCCUGGGGAGUACGACCGCAAGGUUG
RNAcentral lists this ribosomal RNA (550 nucleotides) under uncultured bacterium. RNAcentral's name for it is "bacterial SSU rRNA". It matches the Rfam family "Bacterial small subunit ribosomal RNA", at positions 355 to 896 of the family's 1533-position model. The record is from RNAcentral.